RNAcentral lists this ribosomal RNA (193 nucleotides) under uncultured bacterium. RNAcentral's name for it is "partial 16S ribosomal RNA". It matches the Rfam family "Bacterial small subunit ribosomal RNA", at positions 337 to 521 of the family's 1533-position model. The record is from RNAcentral.
UCCUACGGGAGGCAGCAGUAGGGAAUCUUCCGCAAUGGACGAAAGUCUGACGGAGCAACGCCGCGUGAGUGAUGAAGGCUUUCGGGUCGUAAAACUCUGUUGUUAGGGAAGGACAAGUGCUAGUUGAAUAAGCUGGCACCUUGACGGUACCUAACCAGAAAGCCACGGCUAACUACGUGCCAGCAGCCGCGGU